RNAcentral lists this unclassified non-coding RNA (402 nucleotides) under Hevea brasiliensis (rubber tree). Lineage: Eukaryota; Viridiplantae; Streptophyta; Magnoliopsida; Malpighiales; Euphorbiaceae. The record is from RNAcentral.
UAAGGCUUUUCAGGGAAGAAAUGGUCGAGCAUUUUUGUUCUCUCACGCAAUGAACAUUGUCGUGGGACCAAAAGAGGAUAGGCAUCUCAUGACUGGUCUCCAUACAGUUGCUGAUGUCCAUUGCUGCGACUGUCGUGAGGUGCUUGGGUGGAAAUAUGAACGAGCAUAUGAAGAGGCACAGAAGUACAAGGAAGGAAAGUUCGUACUUGAGAAGUCAAAGAUCGUCAAGGAAAACUGGUAAUAGUCCACCCUGAAUUCUAUGAAAGUGUGUCGAUGCUCCUAUGUACGUGUUAUGCUGUUAGAUCAAAUUCUCAUCAAUUCAAAAUGUUGAUUCAUUGUUCAUUGCUGUAUAAAUUUCUUAUGUUUGUUGUUCGAUUGGAUUGGAUAUGUUGAACAAUCUUG